Molecule: ribosomal RNA, 253 nt
Filed under: uncultured bacterium
Lineage: Bacteria
Description: partial 16S ribosomal RNA
Rfam family: Bacterial small subunit ribosomal RNA
Source: RNAcentral
UACAGAGGUCUCAAGCGUUGUUCGGAUUCAUUGGGCGUAAAGGGUGUGUAGGUGGCGCGCUAAGUCGGGUGUGAAAUUUCGGAGCUUAACUCCGAAACUGCAUUCGAUACUGGCGUGCUUGAGGACUGGAGAGGAGACUGGAAUUCAUGGUGUAGCAGUGACAUGCGUAGAGAUCAUGAGGAAGACCAGUGGCGAAGGCGGGUCUCUGGACAGUUCCUGACACUGAGACACGAAGGCCAGGGGAGCAAACGGG